This is a non-coding RNA of Lonchura striata (white-rumped munia), 313 nucleotides long. The record is from RefSeq and is a predicted model, not a curated record. Lineage: Eukaryota; Metazoa; Chordata; Aves; Passeriformes; Estrildidae.
UUUUAUCUGUCACUUGCUACUUUGCCAAGCUCUAAAUAUAGAUGCAAAUUUUUCUGCUUCAUCUUUUCAAUUGCAGAAAGAAGGAAGGAAGGGACUAUUCCUCAUCUGCCCUUUGGUGAGGAGCUGGACAGUUUAUGGAUAGGGAAGAAGAGAAAGGCAUCAAAGCAAGAAGUAGCCAACUUUGUUCAACUCUAUUCCCUACAUGGUUCAUCCUACAGGACGAGUCAAGAUCUAAACAUUUUUGUUUCUUAUUAUCAUGUACAUAAAGUCUGUAGAGAGGAGAUAAACUUAAUUAAAAUACUAUUUCACUGCA